Molecule: ribosomal RNA, 1016 nt
Filed under: Poinsettia branch-inducing phytoplasma
Lineage: Bacteria; Bacillati; Mycoplasmatota; Mollicutes; Acholeplasmatales; Acholeplasmataceae
Description: bacterial SSU rRNA
Rfam family: Bacterial small subunit ribosomal RNA
Source: RNAcentral
CUUUUUUAAAAGAUCUUCUUUGAAGGUAUGCUUAAGGAGGGGCUUGCGACACAUUAGUUAGUUGGCAGGGUAAAGGCCUACCAAGACUAUGAUGUGUAGCUGGACUGAGAGGUUGAACAGCCACAUUGGGACUGAGACACGGCCCAAACUCCUACGGGAGGCAGCAGUAGGGAAUUUUCGGCAAUGGAGGAAACUCUGACCGAGCAACGCCGCGUGAACGAUGAAGUACCUCGGUAUGUAAAGUUCUUUUAUUAAGGAAGAAAAAAGAGUGGAAAAACUCCCUUGACGGUACUUAAUGAAUAAGCCCCGGCUAAUUAUGUGCCAGCAGCCGCGGUAAUACAUAAGGGGCGAGCGUUAUCCGGAAUUAUUGGGCGUAAAGGGUGCGUAGGCGGUUUAAUAAGUCUAUAGUUUAAUUUCAGUGCUUAACGCUGUUGUGCUAUAGAAACUGUUUUACUAGAGUGAGAUAGAGGCAAGCGGAAUUCCAUGUGUAGCGGUAAAAUGCGUAAAUAUAUGGAGGAACACCAGAGGCGUAGGCGGCUUGCUGGGUCUUUACUGACGCUGAGGCACGAAAGCGUGGGGAGCAAACAGGAUUAGAUACCCUGGUAGUCCACGCCGUAAACGAUGAGUACUAAGUGUCGGGUAAAACUGGUACUGAAGUUAACACAUUAAGUACUCCGCCUGAGUAGUACGUACGCAAGUAUGAAACUUAAAGGAAUUGACGGGACUCCGCACAAGCGGUGGAUCAUGUUGUUUAAUUCGAAGAUACACGAAAAACCUUACCAGGUCUUGACAUUUUCUUGCGAAAUUAUAGAAAUAUAAUGGAGGUUAUCAGGAAAACAGGUGGUGCAUGGUUGUCGUCAGCUCGUGUCGUGAGAUGUUAGGUUAAGUCCUAAAACGAGCGCAACCCUUGUCGUUAAUUGCCAGCAUGUAAUGAUGGGGACUUUAACGAGACUGCCAAUGAAAAAUGGGAGGAAGGUGGGAAUUACGUCAAAUCAUCAUGCCCCUUAUGAUCUGGG